UAUUAAUAAAUAAUUUGGACACAAAUCAAGCGAAAAAAUAAAUUGUGGACACAUGAAGUCAUGUCCACCGAGAUCUCCCGCAAUGAAAUAGUACUAAUGAGUACAAAGUAAUUUCAUAAAUUUGUACCAUAGCAUGGGUCUCCCGUGGAUAUGUUCAGUGGUAGCACUAAGUGAAGAAUGCAUAACAAAAACUAUAGGAGAGAUCAGCAAAGGUUAAGCAAUAAAAAUUCACGCUUUUUCUCAUGAUUGCACUUCACAUGUUCACAUUUUUCACCAGCAUUUUUAAGUGUCGUCUAAACCUUUGACAUUUCCUUCUUAUAUAAAUGAUCUUGAACCCUCUGGAAACUUGUGAGAUAUGAACACAUCUCUCGAAAGCCAUCGACCGCUUCAGAACAAUUCCUGGAAUCCUCUCACACCGUGCAUAAAACUUGGCCUUCGGUCCCAAUAAUAAUAUUUUCAGGAUCCUUCUUCAAUCGCCAUCAACAUUGUUUUCCUUGACGGUCAGCUAUCAACUUACGGUUGCGAACAUACUAGCUUUGGCAAAAUGUGUACGAGCUACUAAAGAAACUAAAGAUCGUUGGGGAACAACAUCGGGCAGUACCUUUGUUGUCUUUCAACUUCAUGGUUUCUUGAUUCUGACCUUGCGAUUUAUUUAAUUUUUUGCAGGGUGCAGGGCGACUGCCAUUGUUGGGAGGCCGGGCUUCAUUCCCUCAAGUAGUCGUGUCCACUGCCACACAGGACGGUGAGCAGGGGAGGAGAGAGAGACAGAC
RNAcentral lists this long non-coding RNA (770 nucleotides) under Triticum aestivum (bread wheat). RNAcentral's name for it is "long non-coding RNA (TAES_LNC016231)". The record is from RNAcentral. Lineage: Eukaryota; Viridiplantae; Streptophyta; Magnoliopsida; Poales; Poaceae.